Molecule: long non-coding RNA, 379 nt
Filed under: Vigna radiata
Lineage: Eukaryota; Viridiplantae; Streptophyta; Magnoliopsida; Fabales; Fabaceae
Description: long non-coding RNA (VRAD_LNC010643)
Source: RNAcentral
UAGGUAUCAGAGGGGGUAUUUUUCGAAGAGUAUAACGCAGCGGAAUUAAAACAAAGAGAGCGGAACGCGUGUUCGGUCACAGUUAAAACGAAAUUGGUCCUUUUUAGCAAAAAUAAUUUUCUUUCAGAAAAUUAAUCAAACAGUUGAUAUUCGUAAAGUAAAAUGAGUGUAGGGAAUAGAAAAAUCACACGAGUAUUUUUAUACUGGUUCGAUUCAACAGAAUUUACGUUCAGUCGUUAAUCACUACAAAGAGUGAUUAACAGUUUCACUAAAAAUAAUCUUACAGAUUACAAUCAAAUGAACAAAAUAUAAAGCGAAGAAAACCACUCUACCAACUUGAAGAGAACCGCUCCGGCAAUCGACCAACAAUUCGCGAGCU